CCUACGGGAGGCAGCAGUAGGGAAUUUUCGUCAAUGGGGGGAACCCUGAACGAGCAAUGCCGCGUGAGUGAAGAAGGCCUUCGGGUCGUAAAGCUCUGUUGUAAGAGAAAUACGGUCAUUAUAGGGAAUGAUAAUGAAGUGAUUGUAUCUUACCAGAACGCCACGGCUAACUACGUGCCAGCAGCCGCGGUAAUACGUAGGUGGCAAGCGUUAUCGGGAAUGAUUGGGCGUAAAGGUUGCGCAGGGGGUCCAGAAAGUCUGUAGGAAAGGGCAUUGGCGCAACCAAUGUAUGCAGUGGAAACUGGUGGACUAGAGUGCAGGAGAGGGAAGUGGAAUUCCAGGUGUAGCGGUAAAAUGCGUAGAUAUAUGGAGGAACACCGGUGGCGAAGGCGGCUGCCUGGCCUGUAACUGACGCUGAGGCACGAAAGCGUGGGGAGCAAAUAGGAUUAGAUACCCGGGUAGUC
RNAcentral lists this ribosomal RNA (464 nucleotides) under uncultured bacterium. RNAcentral describes it as "partial 16S ribosomal RNA". It matches the Rfam family "Bacterial small subunit ribosomal RNA", at positions 338 to 795 of the family's 1533-position model. The record is from RNAcentral.